RNAcentral lists this ribosomal RNA (83 nucleotides) under Diaphorina citri (Asian citrus psyllid). The record is from RNAcentral. Lineage: Eukaryota; Metazoa; Arthropoda; Insecta; Hemiptera; Psyllidae.
GCCAACGACGACAGCACAAUGAAUGCACCAGUUCCCAAUGGAUCACUGAAGUUAAGCAACGUUGCGCAUGGUUAGUAUCCAGA